Long non-coding RNA from Monodelphis domestica (gray short-tailed opossum), 241 nucleotides. RefSeq lists it as uncharacterized. Lineage: Eukaryota; Metazoa; Chordata; Mammalia; Didelphimorphia; Didelphidae. The record is from RefSeq and is a predicted model, not a curated record.
AAGGGAUACACUGAAUGGCAAAGAAUCCCUGCUCUAAGCCCACCACAAAGAAGGUGCUGACCUUCAUUGGAUCAUGCUCUGUGAUUCUUUCUUAUUGGAUUUUGGAUUAGCAUCUUUUUCCCAUUUCCCUCUCAACCCCAAGAGAUAAUCUGACUAGGUCCCUCCAAAGAUCUCAUCCUCACAUGAUAUGCCAUUGAUUUCUACAAAACACGAUGGUUGUCCAGCCACUGCUGAAUCCUCA